GGAGAUGGUGGUGGGUGGGAGCCGCCAACUGGAGGGACCCCAGCUUAGUGCCCUGAGGGGAAGUGAACCCCGACCGGAAGCGCUCUCUGGCUGUGCUGGCUCUUCUCUGCCGCCGCUCUCAUUCCCUGCCCCGUGCCCCGGAGCCUGGUCCCUGAAGAUUGCCCGUCCUGGGCUUCCUUGCACUGUCUUCUGCUUGGGUGUGGCCCAUGGGAGGUACCAGCCAGAAGAUGAAAACUGGAAAAUCCACGGACAUCACUCCAGCCUCCCUGGCCUCUCCUUGUCACAUCGGGGCCACCAGGCCUGCCGCCAUUCACAGGCUCAAGCUUGCUCCGGUCUGUCAUCAGGAGGCAGUUAUGGAACCGAGUCUAGCACCUCGGCGCCCAGGACAGCCUACAGAAAGCAGGACUGA
Molecule: long non-coding RNA, 409 nt
Filed under: Capra hircus (goat)
Lineage: Eukaryota; Metazoa; Chordata; Mammalia; Artiodactyla; Bovidae
Description: lncRNA (ENSCHIG00000003653.1)
Source: RNAcentral